Long non-coding RNA from Hibiscus syriacus, 125 nucleotides. RefSeq lists it as uncharacterized. Lineage: Eukaryota; Viridiplantae; Streptophyta; Magnoliopsida; Malvales; Malvaceae. The record is from RefSeq and is a predicted model, not a curated record. The transcript is spliced from 3 exons.
CCGGAAUCAUUGAUGAAUCAUCAUCGUUAUCAUCAACAGCAGCAGUGGUGGAUUCAAGUACAGGGAGGUCUCCUUCAUCCUCUUCCUCGAGCAAUGAUGCACUGAAGGAAUUUUCAAUCUUCUUA